UUCCCUCUCCAAAGAAAUCACAAACCCCACGACUCCCCUCCCUAAAAAAAUCAAGAAACUCACGAUUUCCCUCUCCAAAUAAAUCAACCAACCCUUUGAAUCAAACCCUUCGAAACCCCUAACCAUUGAUUCCAUUCUUAAGCACCGUGACUUCCUCCAACGGCGACAACGGGUGAGACUUGUUCUCCGGCACCUUAGCUUGAGCGAGGCCACCUUCGAACAAAGAAAUUAAGAAGCGAUGGCGAGAGUCCCACUUGGAGCAUUCUCUAAACCAGCCAGAACUGUGGCAAUGGCAAUAUGUAACCUCUCCCUUUUUCUGCAUCUACAGUAAAAUAGAAAUCCCUUAGCCCUCUCCUACGUGCCUCCCAUAGUGAUCCCUAAAUCUCAUGGUGAUUCCAGUUGCCUCCGAGUAAAAUAGUUGUUCUUAUUGUCGCCGCUCAUCUUGCUCAUAUCGCAACUCUACAAAGGCAGUAGCUGCUGGGAGCCUAAUAUAUCGUGUAAUAGUUUUGUUUCUCAAUUCAAUUCGCGUAAGCUGUUCCUAUCCUGCAUUUUUUUACUGGCAGUGAUUAUAAAGUUGCAAUGCUUAUAAAUUUAAUUUAUUAUCUAGUUGA
Cajanus cajan (pigeon pea) is the source of this 611-nucleotide long non-coding RNA. RefSeq lists it as uncharacterized. The record is from RefSeq and is a predicted model, not a curated record. Lineage: Eukaryota; Viridiplantae; Streptophyta; Magnoliopsida; Fabales; Fabaceae.